CCUACGGGCGGCAGCAGUCGAGAAUCAUUCACAAUGGGGGAAACCCUGAUGGUGCGACGCCGCGUGGGGGAAUGAAGGUCUUCGGAUUGUAAACCCCUGUCAUGUGGGAGCAAAUUAAAAAGAUAGUACCACAAGAGGAAGAGACGGCUAACUCUGUGCCAGCAGCCGCGGUAAUACAGAGGUCUCAAGCGUUGUUCGGAAUCACUGGGCGUAAAGCGUGCGUAGGCUGUUUCGUAAGUCGUGUGUGAAAGGCGCGGGCUCAACCCGCGGACGGCACAUGAUACUGCGAGACUAGAGUAAGGGAGGGGGAACCGGAAUUCUAGGUGUAGCAGUGAAAUGCGUAGAUAUCGAGAGGAACACUCGUGGCGAAGGCGGGUUCCUGGACAUUAACUGACGCUGAGGCACGAAGGCCAGGGGAGCGAAAGGGAUUAGAUACCCGUGUAGUC
This 446-nucleotide ribosomal RNA is filed under the name uncultured bacterium. Its description in RNAcentral is "partial 16S ribosomal RNA". It matches the Rfam family "Bacterial small subunit ribosomal RNA", at positions 338 to 795 of the family's 1533-position model. The record is from RNAcentral.